CCUACGGGUGGCACCAGUGGGGAAUAUUGCACAAUGGGCGCAAGCCUGAUGCAGCCAUGCCGCGUGUAUGAAGAAGGCCUUCGGGUUGUAAAGUACUUUCAGCGGGGAGGAAGGUGUUGAGGUUAAUAACCUCAGCAAUUGACGUACCCGCAGAAGAAGCACCGGCUAACUCCGUGCCAGCAGCCGCGGUAAUACGGAGGGUGCAAGCGUUAAUCGGAAUUACUGGGCGUAAAGCGCACGCAGGCGGUCUGUCAAGUCGGAUGUGAAAUCCCCGGGCUCAACCUGGGAACUGCAUUCGAAACUGGCAGGCUAGAGUCUUGUAGAGGGGGGUAGAAUUCCAGGUGUAGCGGUGAAAUGCGUAGAGAUCUGGAGGAAUACCGGUGGCGAAGGCGGCCCCCUGGACAAAGACUGACGCUCAGGUGCGAAAGCGUGGGGAGCAAACAGGAUUAGAUACCCCAGUAGUC
RNAcentral lists this ribosomal RNA (464 nucleotides) under uncultured bacterium. Its description in RNAcentral is "bacterial SSU rRNA". It matches the Rfam family "Bacterial small subunit ribosomal RNA", at positions 338 to 795 of the family's 1533-position model. The record is from RNAcentral.